This 63-nucleotide microRNA precursor is filed under the name Podarcis lilfordi (Lilford's wall lizard). The record is from RNAcentral. Lineage: Eukaryota; Metazoa; Chordata; Lepidosauria; Squamata; Lacertidae.
UCCUGACCUGCUCUUUGGGGCUGGUGGUGGGCUUCCCCGCCAGCCCCAAAGAGCAGGUCAGGA